GAGCGUCGCUGCUGGGACAGCGGCCCCGCAGCGGGGACACCGACCCGCCUGGCCCGGUGUCUCUGCCCACCAUCCCACGCUGCACUGUGCCACUGUCGGGGCCGCGGGACGCCCACACUGGCAAUGCUGCUGAGCUCAGGGGCUCCAAACUCUCCUGGGCUGGAAGCGGGGGGAGCCGGGAGUGCAGCACAGCAAGCACGGAGCAGGCGGGGCGGGUCCGGCUCCCAGCGCCGGGCUGUGCUGAAGGAGCCUGGGAUGCGCCCCGAGGCAGCCAGCCAUGCGGAGGCGGGGGUCCGCAGCAGCCGAGGGGUUAACAGGAGUCAGACCAGACAGAUCGCAGGGCUGUGCCGGGCUCCGCAGCUCGCUGCAGGAAUGCAGCAGAUGGGAGGAAGGACAAACAUCUGAAGAUGGAUAGGGUGUUUUGGUCCAGACUCAUUGCUGAAUUCGCCAAACUCAAAGUUAUUCCUGUAUUUUCUGGGAAGCGUUCUGCCGCGUUGCAUCCCCCCGCACUGCCCCAGAGCAGGGUGAGGACACUGGGGCUGUGGACCAGCAGGUCCCAGUUCAUUCUCUCAGUGCUGCAGGAGCUGGAGGCUGUGUGGCACGGCUGGUACAUGGAGAGAAGCCAUCCCACAGCUCCCGUGAUGCCCAGGCUGCGCAGGGAUGAGUCUGGCACACCUGUCAAGGGGACCCCAUCGGCAAGUGGGGAAGAGGAGCAUCCUCCAAGCAGCCAGGUCCUGCUCCCAUAAGAGCACCCAGGAAGUCUGGUGGGAUUAGCUCAAGGAAUCUCCUGCCCCUGCACCUGACAGGAGAAGCCAGAGAGCUGGGCAGAAGAGGAGGCAAGCCAGUCCCUUCUCAGGGCCCUGAUCUGCCACCAUGUUUCCUGUCCAGGCUUUCUGCCCUUGGACCUUUCUCCUCAAGCUUUGUUUUAUUCUGUACAGUUCCUAGAAUGGACUGGAGACCUUACUCUGGAACAUCCCUGAUGAAGGGCAAAGCCCAGCACGCCAUUCCAUGUUGCUCCAGUGGGGCCCUGGUGCAGCCACCUGGUCCCCAGUGCUGAACCCAGCUGGGUGCCCACCACCUCCAUGCCCAGCACUACCUAGCUGGACUUCCACCCCGUCCCAACACCGAGGCAGGAGCCACAAGAGCACAGGAGGAUCCAUCCAGCUCUGAAUGCUGCCAUGAGAGAUGAGCCAGAACUGCCUGCCUUGCCUCCAACAAUCUUUUAAAUCCUCCCAGGGCUGGUGACUCCAGCAUUGCCUGGGCAGCCUGUGCCAGUGCUUGACAACUCAUUCAGUUGAGAAAUUUUUCUCUAGUAUCCAGUCUAACCCUUCCCUGGCACCACUUGAGGCUGUUUCCUGUUGUCCUACCACCCAGGACUUCAUCCAGUGGCAGGGACUGUGUGAGCCAGUGUCAGGAGAGAACCAGGGACUGAUGGAGGCACCAGACACAGCCCGAGUUGUGCUGGGGAAUAUUUUGGCCUGGAAUUACUGACUAAAAAUGUUUUCAUGGAGUGUCACAAAGCACUUCAUCACUGGGGGAGGCUUUUGGGGUAACCAUGGUGCAGCGGCUCUGGGUUUGUCGGCGAAGCUGCAUCCGGGCCGGCCAGGAGCCCAUAGGAAUCCAAAAGCAGCCCCUCCACCCACUGGGAGGGAGCUGGAACAAAGGCAUUAGGGAGCAUAAGGAGAUUUACAUUUGCAAAGCUAUUUCCAUUUUAAUAAGCCAAAGCGCUGUUAAAUAGAGAUUGAUAUUUCUCCCCAAA
Long non-coding RNA from Passer montanus (Eurasian tree sparrow), 1759 nucleotides. RefSeq lists it as uncharacterized. Lineage: Eukaryota; Metazoa; Chordata; Aves; Passeriformes; Passeridae. The record is from RefSeq and is a predicted model, not a curated record. The transcript has 2 exons.